AGUGAACGCUGGCGGUAGGCCUAACACAUGCAAGUCGAACGGCAGCACAGUAAGAGCUUGCUCUUACGGGUGGCGAGUGGCGGACGGGUGAGGAAUACAUCGGAAUCUACUUUUUCGUGGGGGAUAACGUAGGGAAACUUACGCUAAUACCGCAUACGACCUACGGGUGAAAGCAGGGGAUCUUCGGACCUUGCGCGAUUGAAUGAGCCGAUGUCGGAUUAGCUAGUUGGCGGGGUAAAGGCCCACCAAGGCGACGAUCCGUAGCUGGUCUGAGAGGAUGAUCAGCCACACUGGAACUGAGACACGGCCCAGACUCCUACGGGAGGCAGCAGUGGGGAAUAUUGGACAAUGGGCGCAAGCCUGAUCCAGCCAUACCGCGUGGGUGAAGAAGGCCUUCGGGUUGUAAAGCCCUUUUGUUGGGAAAGAAAAGCAGCAGGUUAAUACCCCGCUGUUCUGACGGUACCCAAAGAAUAAGCACCGGCUAGCUUCGUG
RNAcentral lists this ribosomal RNA (492 nucleotides) under uncultured bacterium. RNAcentral's name for it is "partial 16S ribosomal RNA". It matches the Rfam family "Bacterial small subunit ribosomal RNA", at positions 29 to 507 of the family's 1533-position model. The record is from RNAcentral.